UCUGCAUAAGUUUUGAGAAAUCUCCCCCUAUAUGUUAACUUAACUCGUGUAUAUCGGACACAGGACCGUUUGAAGGAAUUUGGGGGCCCCAAGCAAAACAUGGAGUUUCCCCAAUGAGAAAAUGGAGAAAAAGUUUCAAAAGAUGGUAUCAGAGUAAAAGAAGAGUACUGACUGCAAACAUGGACAGAGCUGAGUAUAAGUGGCCUUCAGGCUAGUUUUGUCCAAAAGAAACCUGAUGCAUGGGCAGUCAAGUGCCUAGUACAAGAUGGGUUUUGUUAUAUAAUAAGGGCUUAAAGGCUCUCUCCCAUUGCUCUGUUAAAGUAACUGGUGUAUGCUCUACUUCAUGGAUGAUCAAGCUUGGAUUUCUUUAGCUUUGAUCAAAGCAUCCUAAAUCCUGUACUACAAAUAUGCUAUUAUAUGACUUGUGCCUCUUGUGUGUGUUUUUUUUCAACAAUGAAGCAAAU
This is a long non-coding RNA of Hyla sarda, 464 nucleotides long. RefSeq lists it as uncharacterized. The record is from RefSeq and is a predicted model, not a curated record. Lineage: Eukaryota; Metazoa; Chordata; Amphibia; Anura; Hylidae. The transcript has 3 exons.